Molecule: non-coding RNA, 71 nt
Organism: Phlebotomus papatasi
Lineage: Eukaryota; Metazoa; Arthropoda; Insecta; Diptera; Psychodidae
Source: the annotation of a RefSeq genome assembly
CAAUUUAAAUUCUAUAAGUUAGAAUUUUCAUUUACAUUGAAAAUAAAGUCGUGCAAAUCGAUUUAAAUUGA